AAUGUAAAAGUCUGAGCUUUGAAAGACAAUGUUGGAAAGAGAACAACGAUGGUGACGUUUUGAGGGUAAAAUGAUGGCUGUAACACUGUGGACACAGCAGCAGUUGAAAGAGAAGUGCUUAAGAUGAAUCUUGGCAGAGUGAGAGAGAGAGCUCGUUAAGCAGGCAGGUGUGAGCCUGGUUGCUAUAGUGACCGCACCCAAUGGCUCCAUACACACGUACACAGACAUGCGCCUCACUUUUGCUGCUUAAAAUGAACAGAAAAGUCAGGCCCAAACAAAUUCUUCCCAAAUGAAAAGUACAUGUCGUAUUGACAAAAUUCUUUCACCGUGAGCGACAGCCAUGUCUAGUCUACCUAAUUCUCAGUUUUCAUGCCUGUGGAGUUUAUUAUAUGGACGUGGUGACAGUGUAAAGACACCAUGCUCUUCUGAUUUUCAAACGAACCUUCUGAGCCAUUUUAACAUUAGAGUCUAUGGAAGAGUUGGAGGGAGGAGGCUGUGCAUUGGUGACAUUUAUGAAAGAACCAUAACACCUAGUACAAUACUAAACACAUUGGAUGAAAGAGGACAGCGAUGGCUACGUUUUGAGGGUAAAAUCAUACCUGUAGAGCAAACGCUGCAGACACAGCAGCAGUUUUAAAAAAGAUUUUAAGAUUAAUUUUUUUGCUCCUCUCACUCUAGCAGUUGAGCUGCCUCACUCUAGCCCCAACAUUCCGUCCCAUACACACCCAUUAUAAAUUUUGAAACGGGUGAAAAAACAUCAUGAAACUUAAACUGGAACUGAAGAAAAAGUAUAAUAGAUAUUGAAAAGAUAAAUACAAGUUGAAUAGUUGAAUGUCUUGUCUUCGUUUUAAAGUUUGAAUGGUGGCUCUAUGUCAAUGUAUGUGGAAGUAGUAAGAGUUUAAAAAUGAGUAAGUUGAAUGAGAAUUUGAAGGGUUUCCCCAUUGAAAUACAUGGGAAAUUUUUGUUGAAUAAAGUUGAAUAAAAUUAAAAAUAUAAAUGUUAAAAAUGAGAAAAAUAGAAGCAGUCAUGUCCAAAAUAAUAGGAAUCUAACGAUGUUUGAAUGGUUUUUCUAAGUUGAACGGUUUUGAAGGAGUUAGAUGCCAAAAAACGUACGGAAUAUGGAAUAAUAAUAAAGAUUUGAAGAACAAUACUGUGAAUGCUUUUCAAGCAUUCACACUAAUAAUAAAGAUUCGAAUAACAAUACUGUGAAUGCUUUUCAAGCAUUCACACUAAUAAAACGUCGCAAGCCAAGCAGUUUGGAAGGGUUUUGAAAGCUGUAUGUAGUAUAUAAGCUAUGAGCCGGGCAAUGCGAGGCAAGUCAGAAGGCUCAAAGGUAUAAAGUAUAGAGUCAGUGAGUGUUUUUGUGUUGGAGCUUCAGGUUCAGCAAAUGAACUCUUCUAUAUUGGUGUGAUUCAUGUGACUUUUUCCUCCUUAAGUACCGCCCACUGGAAAACAGUUUGUAUAAAAAUCUUCUCUUUGGCUGUUUUAGUUUGGAAAUCAAUCUUACCCAAUCAGAUUGUACAAACUGUUAUAGACAGUUAUUAUAUAUAGACAGGUAUUUCUCUCUCUCUGAUCUCUCUGAGAAGCUUCAACCUUUCUUUAAUCAGCAGUGUGAUGAACUGAUGCUCUGAUCUCUGGUCUGACCAAAGCUUUAACUCCAAACAUCUCUCCACUGUUAGAGCUUCUGCAUUGUUUCAGGUUCAAAUCAUGGUUCAUAUUUUCAUUGCCUGAUGGUGUGACGCCUCCACCUACAUCACUGAACUGCUCCACUUCUGUACUCUUCUCUCUGUGGCCUUCUUGAAACAGCCUCUUGGUGUUUGUGGGGUUUUUCUCAGUUCAUGUGUGCCACUGUUUUUUUUUUAUGAAAACUAUUAGUAUAUCUCUGUAAAUAAGACUUUUUAUAUAUAUAUAUAUAAAAACAAUGAUAAUGAGUCUAUUUGUUGAAUGAGUGAAUAAAAUAUGAUCAGUAUGUAAGUGUUAAUAAAGAGUUAAC
Molecule: long non-coding RNA, 1993 nt
Organism: Astatotilapia calliptera (eastern happy)
Lineage: Eukaryota; Metazoa; Chordata; Actinopteri; Cichliformes; Cichlidae
Source: Ensembl